This 400-nucleotide ribosomal RNA is filed under the name uncultured bacterium. RNAcentral describes it as "bacterial SSU rRNA". It matches the Rfam family "Bacterial small subunit ribosomal RNA", at positions 355 to 753 of the family's 1533-position model. The record is from RNAcentral.
UAGGGAAUAUUGGACAAUGGGCGAAAGCCUGAUCCAGCCAUGCCGCGUGAAGGAUGAAGGGCCUCUGGCUUGUAAACUUCUUUUGGCGGGGGAUAAACCACCACUACAAGUGGUGCUGAAGGUACCCGCAGAAUAAGCACCGGCUAACUCCGUGCCAGCAGCCGCGGUAAUACGGAGGGUGCAAGCGUUGUCCGGAUUCAUUGGGUUUAAAGGGUGCGUAGGCGGUACGCUAAGUCAGUGGUGAAAUCCUGGGGCUCAACCCCUGAAUUGCCAUAGAUACUGGCGUGCUUGAGUUCGACCGAGGCGGUUGGAAUGCGUGGUGUAGCGGUGAAAUGCUUAGAUAUCACGCGGAACACCGAUUGCGAAGGCAGAUCGCUAGGUCGCGACUGACGCUGAGGCA